RNAcentral lists this unclassified non-coding RNA (365 nucleotides) under Hevea brasiliensis (rubber tree). Lineage: Eukaryota; Viridiplantae; Streptophyta; Magnoliopsida; Malpighiales; Euphorbiaceae. The record is from RNAcentral.
GCUCUUGAUUGCAGCUCUGUAGGGUAGUCCCGGACACAACCAAUGCGCGGUCCAGCCCCAGUGGUCCACUUGCAAGGCAAUCGUUGGGGCCACUCAAAAACAGUUGCCUUCAAGCUGGCAUUGUUAAUUUUAAUGUCUUGCUCUGUAUUAACAGUUGUGUUUGUAGUCUCCUUGGUGGACAAAUCCAUAUCAGUUGUAUUUGUAAUGUUGGGUUGAGAAGCAGGAGCAGAACCCACAAUUGAUUCUUGCUUUUGUUCUUCUUCAACAACGUUUGAAGGACAGUCAUCAUCAAUUGCAUACCUCUUGACAUUUGUGAGAUCUACAUUGUUUUCCUGAAGGAAGCUGAUAAAUUCCCUGAAGUUUUC